Molecule: ribosomal RNA, 371 nt
Filed under: uncultured bacterium
Lineage: Bacteria
Description: bacterial SSU rRNA
Rfam family: Bacterial small subunit ribosomal RNA
Source: RNAcentral
GAUGAACGCUAGCUACAGGCUUAACACAUGCAAGUCGAGGGGCAGCAUGGUCUUAGCUUGCUAAGGCCGAUGGCGACCGGCGCACGGGUGAGUAACACGUAUCCAACCUGCCGUCUACUCUUGGACAGCCUUCUGAAAGGAAGAUUAAUACAAGAUGGCAUCAUGAGUCCGCAUGUUCACAUGAUUAAAGGUAUUCCGGUAGACGAUGGGGAUCGACGUUCCAUUAGAUAGUAGGCGGGGUAACGGCCCACCUAGUCUUCGAUGGAUAGGGGUUCUGAGAGGGACGGUACCCCCACAGUUGAACUGAGACACGGUCCAACUCCGUACGGGAGCAGCAGUGAGGAAUUAUUGACACAAGUGGGACGAAAGCC